Long non-coding RNA from Brassica napus (rape), 1321 nucleotides. RefSeq lists it as uncharacterized. The transcript has 6 exons. The record is from RefSeq and is a predicted model, not a curated record. Lineage: Eukaryota; Viridiplantae; Streptophyta; Magnoliopsida; Brassicales; Brassicaceae.
GACCCAUAUUAUAUUAGGGUUUUAAUCUGCAUCGCCCCUAUCGAGCUCUCUCCUCCUUCCUCGCUCUUCGUCUCCUGCAAACUCAGACCCCCAUCUUUGUAACGUCUCCCGUUUCUGUAAUUCAUCUAUUUUAACCUCAUCAUUUACUUCAAACCCACUACUCAUCCCACUCUCUCUGAAUUAAACAGCUUCAUUAUCAUCAAAGGUUAUCGCUUGAAGCUCUUCUCUAUAAAUCGGUUCCUUCCCUGCGAUGAAUAGCUGCAGUUCUACGAAAUCCCUAAGUAAAAACUUCAUCAAGCUUCGAUUCCAGCAAUGGCUUCUUCCUACACGAUUCAUGAGAUCGGUCUGUGUUUGGUUCGACUUCUCCGAUUUGAGAGGCUCGGGAUGUCAGGAGAGAUGGCGAACUGAUGAGUAGCGACAUUCUUUUCCUGGAUGAGAAGGGCGGUUAUUCCUCAAUGGGACUUUUGGAACCGACAUCUACUUCGACACUGAGACGGAUGCGGAAAAGGAGCACUAUGCAAAGUUUUUUGGAGAUGGCUCAAACCAGACAGCCUCUUCAUCAAAACUGAUUCAUGCUCAGAAGAUAGACCCCUCACUGUCUCUGAGCUUAACCAAUCUGUCUUAACAGCUGAUCCUCAGAUAAUCGAGUUCCUCUGUACUGCCAAAGUAAUACAGUCUGAAAAAGGGGGUGUUAUAUUGGCAGCAGUGGAUGUUCUCAGAAGGUUGUGAAGGAGAUUUCUUCUUUCACGUGCUUUUUUUUUGUGAUAACACAAGCGCUAUGGCUUCCCCCAGGUACCAUGUGGAACUAUCUGCAGCAGAUCAGACAGAUGAUGCUCUAUUUGUUGCUUUUGAUAUGGAAAUGGUUAAGUUGACCAACAUUCAAACUUGAAGAGCAUCCCAAGACUCAGCGUGCACCACUCCCAGACUUUGUAGGCGAUGGUGAUCAACAUGAGCAAGUCCAGAAUCCAAUAGCAAGUAUGGUCCCUGCUGGUAACAGUAGCACUGUUGUUGAGAUCGUUGAUGAUUUGGCAGCGAAACUUGGUGAAACUACAGAUGUGAACCAUCAAACUCCCUCAUCUACUGUACCAGAAGGGGGGCGUCCAGCAUCAAGCACACCACCUGUUGAUCGAUAUGAGAGUGAAAAGAAGAAGCUACGGUUGGCAUAGAGCCACCUGAGAGUUACAACCCACCAAUACAUUUACUUAUGUAUUGAUGUCGUUCUUUUGCAUUUGCUUUUCGUCUAGAGUUUUUGCAACUUCGUGUUUUUUUAAAUAAAACUAUGUGGUGGUGUUUUACUUAUUAAUGCAAGUUUUUCUCUUUA